RNAcentral lists this ribosomal RNA (406 nucleotides) under uncultured bacterium. RNAcentral's name for it is "partial 16S ribosomal RNA". It matches the Rfam family "Bacterial small subunit ribosomal RNA", at positions 30 to 526 of the family's 1533-position model. The record is from RNAcentral.
AUUGAACGCUGGCGGCAGGCCUAACACAUGCAAGUCGAGCGAGCGGCGGACGGGUGAGUAAUGUCUGGGAAACUGCCUGAUGGAGGGGGAUAACUACUGGAAACGGUAGCUAAUACCGCAUACCAUCAGAUGUGCCCAGAUGGGAUUAGCUAGUAGGUGGGGUAAUGACUCACCUAGGCGACGAUCCCUAGCUGGUCUGAGAGGAUGACCAGACACACUGUAACUGAGAGACGGUCCAGGCUCCUACGGGAGGCAGCAGUGGGGAAUAUUGCACAAUGGGGGCAAGCCUGAUGCAGCCAUGCCACUUGUGUGAAGAGGGCCUUCAGGUUGUAAGGCACUUUCAGCGAGGGGGCGUUACUCGCAGAAGAAGCACCGGCUAACUCCGUGCCAGCAGCCGGGGUAAUAC